GCAUCUGUGGUGGAAUUGGUAGACACGCUAUCUUCAGGCGGUAGUGGAAGUAUUUCCGUGUGAGUUCGAAUCUCAUCAGAUGCACCA
RNAcentral lists this transfer RNA (87 nucleotides) under Clostridium sp. C1. Its description in RNAcentral is "tRNA-Leu". It matches the Rfam family "tRNA". From Rfam's summary of the family: Transfer RNA (tRNA) molecules are approximately 80 nucleotides in length. Their secondary structure includes four short double-helical elements and three loops (D, anti-codon, and T loops). The record is from RNAcentral. Lineage: Bacteria; Bacillati; Bacillota; Clostridia; Eubacteriales; Clostridiaceae. RNAcentral also lists the same sequence under 2 other names.